GCCCCAGUAGUAUAACCCAUUACUUUGGUCUUGUAAACCAAAAAUGAAGCCUCUAACGCUUCCUGGGACA
Molecule: transfer RNA, 70 nt
Filed under: Hadrosciurus sp. 3 EFA-2022
Lineage: Eukaryota; Metazoa; Chordata; Mammalia; Rodentia; Sciuridae
Description: tRNA-Thr
Source: RNAcentral